AGAGUUUGAUCCUGGCUCAGGACGAACGCUGGCGGCGUGCUUAACACAUGCAAGUCGAGCGGUAAGGCCUUUCGGGGUACACGAGCGGCGAACGGGUGAGUAACACGUGGGUGAUCUGCCCUGCACUCUGGGAUAAGCUUGGGAAACUGGGUCUAAUACCGGAUAUGACCGCAUGCCGCAUGGUGUGUGGUGGAAAGAUUUAUCGGUGCAGGAUGGGCCCGCGGCCUAUCAGCUUGUUGGUGGGGUAAUGGCCUACCAAGGCGACGACGGGUAGCCGACCUGAGAGGGUGACCGGCCACACUGGGACUGAGACACGGCCCAGACUCCUACGGGAGGCAGCAGUGGGGAAUAUUGCACAAUGGGCGGAAGCCUGAUGCAGCGACGCCGCGUGAGGGAUGAAGGCCUUCGGGUUGUAAACCUCUUUCAGCAGGGACGAAGCGUGAGUGACGGUACCUGCAGAAGAAGCACCGGCUAACUACGUGCCAGCAGCCGCGGUAAUACGUAGGGUGCGAGCGUUGUCCGGAAUUACUGGGCGUAAAGAGUUCGUAGGCGGUUUGUCGCGUCGUUUGUGAAAACCCGGGGCUCAACUUCGGGCUUGCAGGCGAUACGGGCAGACUUGAGUGUUUCAGGGGAGACUGGAAUUCCUGGUGUAGCGGUGAAAUGCGCAGAUAUCAGGAGGAAACACCGGUGGCGAAAGGCGGGUCUCUGGGAAACAACUGACGCUGAGGAACGAAAAGCGUGGGUAGCAAACAGGAUUAGAUACCCUGGUAGUCCACGCCGUAAACGGUGGGCGCUAGGUGUGGGUUCCUUCCACGGGAUCUGUGCCGUAGCUAACGCAUUAAGCGCCCCGCCUGGGGAGUACGGCCGCAAGGCUAAAACUCAAAGGAAUUGACGGGGGCCCGCACAAGCGGCGGAGCAUGUGGAUUAAUUCGAUGCAACGCGAAGAACCUUACCUGGGUUUGACAUACACCGGAAAACCGUAGAGAUACGGUCCCCCCUGUGGUCGGUGUACAGGUGGUGCAUGGCUGUCGCCAGCUCGUGUCGUGAGAUGUUGGGUUAAGUCCCGCAACGAGCGCAACCCUUGUCUUAUGUUGCCAGCGCGUUAUGGCGGGGACUCGUAAGAGACUGCCGGGGUCAACUCGGAGGAAGGUGGGGACGACGUCAAGUCAUCAUGCCCCUUAUGUCCAGGGCUUCACACAUGCUACAAUGGCCAGUACAGAGGGCUGCGAGACCGUGAGGUGGAGCGAAUCCCUUAAAGCUGGUCUCAGUUCGGAUCGGGGUCUGCAACUCGACCCCGUGAAGUCGGAGUCGCUAGUAAUCGCAGAUCAGCAACGCUGCGGUGAGUACGUUCCCGGGCCUUGUACACACCGCCCGUCACGUCAUGAAAGUCGGUAACACCCGAAGCCGGUGGCCUAACCCCUUGUGGGAGGGAGCCGUCGAAGGUGGGAUCGGCGAUUGGGACGAAGUCGUAACAAGGUAACC
RNAcentral lists this ribosomal RNA (1482 nucleotides) under Rhodococcoides yunnanense. Its description in RNAcentral is "bacterial SSU rRNA". It matches the Rfam family "Bacterial small subunit ribosomal RNA". The record is from RNAcentral. Lineage: Bacteria; Bacillati; Actinomycetota; Actinomycetes; Mycobacteriales; Nocardiaceae.